CCCCCGGCCGCCAUCUUUGUCCCCCCCCCCACCCUCAUCCCCAGGGAGGAAGGAUGGAGCCGAGGGUGAGGGGGAGGCUGAGACCCCCGGAGACCCCAUGGAGACCCAUAGCGAGGAGCCGCCGGUGCCCAUGGAGCCGGGACCCCCCC
Melopsittacus undulatus (budgerigar) is the source of this 149-nucleotide long non-coding RNA. RefSeq lists it as uncharacterized. Lineage: Eukaryota; Metazoa; Chordata; Aves; Psittaciformes; Psittaculidae. The record is from RefSeq and is a predicted model, not a curated record. The transcript is spliced from 3 exons.